UCCCUGGUGGCUCAGAGGAUAAAGCGUCUGCCUGCAAUGCAGGAGACUUGGGUUCAAUCCCUCGGUUGGGAA
Molecule: transfer RNA, 72 nt
Filed under: Ovis aries (sheep)
Lineage: Eukaryota; Metazoa; Chordata; Mammalia; Artiodactyla; Bovidae
Rfam family: tRNA
About the family: Transfer RNA (tRNA) molecules are approximately 80 nucleotides in length. Their secondary structure includes four short double-helical elements and three loops (D, anti-codon, and T loops). Further hydrogen bonds mediate the characteristic L-shaped molecular structure. tRNAs have two regions of fundamental functional importance: the anti-codon, which is responsible for specific mRNA codon recognition, and the 3' end, to which the tRNAs corresponding amino acid is attached (by aminoacyl-tRNA synthetases). tRNAs cope with the degeneracy of the genetic code in two manners: having more than one tRNA (with a specific anti-codon) for a particular amino acid; and 'wobble' base-pairing, i.e. permitting non-standard base-pairing at the 3rd anti-codon position.
Source: Rfam by way of RNAcentral